Molecule: ribosomal RNA, 740 nt
Filed under: uncultured bacterium
Lineage: Bacteria
Description: bacterial SSU rRNA
Rfam family: Bacterial small subunit ribosomal RNA
Source: RNAcentral
UAGAGUUUGAUCCUGGCUCAGAUUGAACGCUGGUGGCAGGCUUAACACAUGCAAGUCGAGCGGGGAAAGGUAGCUUGCUACCUGACCUAGCGGCGGACGGGUGAGUAAUGCUUAGGAAUCUGCCUAUUAGUGGGGGACAACAUUCCGAAAGGAGUGCUAAUACCGCAUACGCCCUACGGGGGAAAGCAGGGGAUCUUCGGACCUUGCGCUAAUAGAUGAGCCUAAGUCAGAUUAGCUAGUUGGUGGGGUAAAGGCCUACCAAGGCGACGAUCUGUAGCGGGUCUGAGAGGAUGAUCCGCCACACUGGGACUGAGACACGGCCCAGACCCCUACGGGAGGCAGCAGUGGGGAAUAUUGGACAAUGGGCGAAAGCCUGAUCCAGCCAUGCCGCGUGUGUGAAGAAGGCCUUUUGGUUGUAAAGCACUUUAAGCGAGGAGGAGGCUACUUAGAUUAAUACUCUAGGGUAGUGGACGUUACUCGCAGAAUAAGCACCGGCUAACUCUGUGCCAGCAGCCGCGGUAAUACAGAGGGUGCGAGCGUUAAUCGGAUUUACUGGGCGUAAAGCGUGCGUAGGCGGCUUUUUAAGUCGGAUGUGAAAUCCCUGAGCUUAACUUAGGAAUUGCAUUCGAUACUGGGAAGCUAGAGUAUGGGAGAGGAUGGUAGAAUUCCAGGUGUAGCGGUGAAAUGCGUAGUAGAUCUGGAGGAAUACCGAUGGCGAAGGCAGCCAUCUGGCCUAUACC